CAUUGUCAACGUCCCUGAACACAUCGAUCUUGGUGCAUGCUGUUUUCAUGAAUGGCCUCCCAAGUAGAAUCGGCAAUGGGGUGACAUUUAGUGAGUCCUCCAUCUCUAAAACGUAGAAAUCCGCUGGAAAUAUCAAGUUAUCCACCUGCACCAAUACAUCCUCCAAAACUGCUUUCGGAUAUGCAUUAGAACGAUCGGCUAAUUGAAUUAUAACACCAUCGUUUUUAAGUUCUCCUAAGUUCAUUGAUGCAUAAAUUGAGUAUGGCAUGACGUUAAUUGAGGCUCCUAGAUCUAACAUAGCAUGUUCAAAUUUGGUAUUGCCUAUAACACAUGGAAUUGUAAAACUUCCCGGAUCUUUGCAUUUAGGAGGUAAUUUCCUUUGUAACACAGCAGAGACAUUUUCACUUACUUGAACCACCUCUUUGUUCGAAAUCCUCUUUCUUGUGGUGCAAAGUUCCUUUAAGAACUUGGCGUACCUCGGGACUUGCUUGAUGGCGUCCAAAAGGGGAAUGUUGACUUGAACUUUUCAAAACGUCUCUAGAAUGUCCUUUUCAGCUUCUUCUUUCUUUGUUUGCUUAAACCUACUAGGAAAGGGGACAUUCAAAGGAAAAUCAUUAGUAGGAAUGGAAUUGGACUCGGUUGUACCUUUAUUUGGCAGAUUGGAUGGCUUAGGA
Molecule: long non-coding RNA, 674 nt
Filed under: Malus domestica (apple)
Lineage: Eukaryota; Viridiplantae; Streptophyta; Magnoliopsida; Rosales; Rosaceae
Description: long non-coding RNA (MDOM_LNC013874)
Source: RNAcentral